CUACGGGCCGCUGCAGUGAGGAAUAUUGCACAAUGGAGGAAACUCUGAUGCAGCCAUGCCGCGUGAGUGAAGAAGGCCUUAGGGUUGUAAAGCUCUUUCAAUGGUGAAGAUAAUGACGGUAGCCAUACAAGAAGCCCCGGCUAAAUUCGUGCCAGCAGCCGCGGUAAUACGAAUGGGGCAAGCGUUGUUCGGAAUCACUGGGCUUAAAGCGUGCGUAGGCGGAAAUGAAAGUCAGAAGUGAAAUCCCGGGGCUCAACCCCGGAACUGCUUUUGAAACUCCAUUUCUAGAAUCCGGUAGAGGUCAGGAGAAUUCCUAGUGUAGAGGUGAAAUUCGCAGAUAUUAGGAGGAAUACCAGUGGCGUAGGCGCCUGACUGGGCCGGUAUUGACGCUGAGGUACGAAAGCGUGGGGAGCAAACAGGAUUAGAUACCCGUGUAGUC
Molecule: ribosomal RNA, 439 nt
Filed under: uncultured bacterium
Lineage: Bacteria
Description: partial 16S ribosomal RNA
Rfam family: Bacterial small subunit ribosomal RNA
Source: RNAcentral